This 166-nucleotide ribosomal RNA is filed under the name Croton argenteus. Its description in RNAcentral is "5.8S ribosomal RNA". It matches the Rfam family "5.8S ribosomal RNA". From Rfam's summary of the family: 5.8S ribosomal RNA (5.8S rRNA) is a component of the large subunit of the eukaryotic ribosome. It is transcribed by RNA polymerase I as part of the 45S precursor that also contains 18S and 28S rRNA. Lineage: Eukaryota; Viridiplantae; Streptophyta; Magnoliopsida; Malpighiales; Euphorbiaceae. RNAcentral also lists the same sequence under 33 other names. The record is from RNAcentral.
ACGACUCUCGGCAACGGAUAUCUCGGCUCUCGCAUCGAUGAAGAACGCAGCGAAAUGCGAUACUUGGUGUGAAUUGCAGAAUCCCGUGAACCAUCGAGUUUUUGAACGCAAGUUGCGCCCAAAGCCUUUCGGCCGAGGGCACGUCUGCCUGGGUGUCACGCAACAU